RNAcentral lists this ribosomal RNA (246 nucleotides) under uncultured bacterium. Its description in RNAcentral is "partial 16S ribosomal RNA". It matches the Rfam family "Archaeal small subunit ribosomal RNA", at positions 474 to 719 of the family's 1478-position model. The record is from RNAcentral.
UACCAGCACCCCGAGUGGUCGGGACGUUUUAUUGGGCCUAAAGCAUCCGUAGCCGGUUCUACAAGUCUUCCGUUAAAUCCACCUGCUUAACAGAAUGGGCUGCGGAAGAUACUAUAGAGCUAGGAGGCGGGAGAGGCAAGCGGUACUCGAUGGGUAGGGGUAAAAUCCGUUGAUCCAUUGAAGACCACCAGUGGCGAAGGCGGCUGCCAGAACGCGCUCGACGGUGAGGGAUGAAAGCUGGGGGAG